This is a long non-coding RNA of Corythoichthys intestinalis (scribbled pipefish), 757 nucleotides long. RefSeq lists it as uncharacterized. Lineage: Eukaryota; Metazoa; Chordata; Actinopteri; Syngnathiformes; Syngnathidae. The transcript is spliced from 5 exons. The record is from RefSeq and is a predicted model, not a curated record.
AUGAACAUGAAAAAAGACGCAUCCUAAGUUUCUCAACGAAUGAAGCUUAACCCCACCAAGUAUCAACCACACUACAAAGCCAUCAGCAAAACCAUGCAGCACCAGAAGUCGCAUUGAUGGUUAUUUAUUUUCAAGCCUCUGUCCUAACCCGAGCUCAUUGAAAAACAGUCCACCGCAAACGUAUUACACCAGACAUCUCAACCGUCCCAGAGGAAAUCCGAACACUUUCAAGUGUUUGGGAGGUGCACAUGAUGACAAACGACACUGCUGCUAAUGCUGGAGGAGGGGUCAGCGUGCCUCAUUAUAUAGUAUCAAGAGCCAUUAAGGACAACCUAAAGAAAAUUCCGGGCUACUAUGUGACUUACGUUCAUCCACUGGGCCAAAACUACCCUCUGAACAAGUAUUAAGUCCCCAGGUUACAAAGAGUUCCGUUCCUACGCUGGCGACGUGUCCCAAAUUUCUACAAAAGUCAGAACCAACCCUUUCAGUAUGCCUAAAUCUCAAAACAACUAUCCAAAAAGUCAAAAAGUAUUAUAUUUUGUUUUAUAAUGGAAGAUACACUGCCUUCUGGUGGCAGCAUUGGGUCUGGCUGGACUGUCGCCUUAUUGGACUGAGGCGCAGACUCGUCUGACAUGGAUGAAGGACAAGCUGCGCUCUGGUUUGGCCUACAUAAGGCUAUAAGUUGUUUCAGGUAUUAUACAGUAUGUUUGUUUAUGCAUUUAUAAUUAAGUUUAGAGCUACAGUUUGUGGAGUUAUG